GUUCGUUCCUGUGGGUGGGUCGAUGGUGUUCGGGGGGUCCAUGCGUGUGCGGGAAUUGACUGGGGUUACGCACUCGCGGGCGGUUUUUUAAGCGCGAUGUGAAAGGGCUGGGCUCAACCUAGGAUUGGCAGUUCGAACCGGGGAACUAGAGUCUUGUCGAGGCGGGUAGCAUUCCCGGUGUCGCCGUGAAGUGCGUAGAGAUCUGGAGGAAUACCAGUGGCGAAGGCGGCCCCCUGGACAAAGACUGACGCUCAGGUGUGAAAGCGUGGGGAGCAAACAGGAUUCGAUACCCCAGUAGUC
This 300-nucleotide ribosomal RNA is filed under the name uncultured Bacillus sp. RNAcentral describes it as "bacterial SSU rRNA". The stretch from base 52 to 300 matches the Rfam family "Bacterial small subunit ribosomal RNA", at positions 547 to 795 of the family's 1533-position model. Lineage: Bacteria; Bacillati; Bacillota; Bacilli; Caryophanales; Bacillaceae. The record is from RNAcentral.